CCUCAGGGGUAGCCUAGCAGGACCUCAGGUAUUGAAGGUAGCCUGAAAGACCCAGUGUAGCUAGGGUGGCCAAGCAGAACCUCAGGGGUAGCCUGACAGGACCUCAGGUAUUGAGAGUAGCCUAGCAGGACCUUGAGGGCAGCCUGAUGGACCUAGAAUUGUGAGGGUGGCCAAGCAGGACCUCAGGGGUAGCCUGACAGGACUUCAAGUAUUGAGGGUAUUGAGGGUAGCCUAGCAGGACCUUGAGGGCAGCCUGAUGGACCUGAAUUGAGUGGAUAGUCUACUAAUACCUCGUGAUAUUGAAGGUAGCAGGACAUUUAAAAUAUGAGUUCGUAAGACGAUGGAUACUAUGGUGCAGGUAUAAUUAUGAAAUGUGAGAUUCAAAAGAAGGUAAUUUAAAGGCUUGCUAAUAGAUUUACUUAUUUAAUGCUAGUCGUUCUAUUAUUUCCAUAUGAAUUGUGAUAAGACUGCUUAGCUGUAAAGUAAGAGGUUAGUAGGGUUAGGAUUAUUCUACUGAGUGAAUUAUUACUCACGGAUACGUUUGUAUUCUGGUAAAUCGAUUGCUUCGGCGAUCAAUUUGCCAGAGUAUGCAGGAUUCAAUGGUGGAGCAGUUUGACACAGGAAGAAUACUAGGGGCGGAGACCGAGUAUGCUUGGGAUCUGUAUCAAGACUAGAGUCGCUCUGAAGUUAUUUCAAUAAA
Long non-coding RNA from Rhododendron vialii, 700 nucleotides. RefSeq lists it as uncharacterized. Lineage: Eukaryota; Viridiplantae; Streptophyta; Magnoliopsida; Ericales; Ericaceae. The transcript is spliced from 2 exons. The record is from RefSeq and is a predicted model, not a curated record.